Molecule: non-coding RNA, 218 nt
Organism: Otolemur garnettii (small-eared galago)
Lineage: Eukaryota; Metazoa; Chordata; Mammalia; Primates; Galagidae
Source: Rfam
AAGACUAUACUUUCAGGGAUCAUUUCUAUAGUUUGUUACUAGAGAAGUCUCUCUGAACGUGUAGAGCACCGGAAACCACGAGGAGGAGGUGUAGUAUUUUCUCCUGAGCGUGAAGCUGGUAUUUGGUGUUGCAGUUGUUGUAACUACCACUUGCCGUUGAUGAUCGUUCUUCUUCUCUUUUCAGAAGAGUGAGAGGGAGGAAAUACUGUCUGAGUGGU